UGGGGAAUAUUGGACAAUGGGGGCAACCCUGAUCCAGCAAUGCCGCGUGUGUGAAGAAGGUCUUCGGAUUGUAAAGCACUUUUGGCAGGGACGAUGAUGACGGUACCUGCAGAAUAAGCCCCGGCUAACUUCGUGCCAGCAGCCGCGGUAAUACGAAGGGGGCUAGCGUUGCUCGGAAUGACUGGGCGUAAAGGGCGCGUAGGCGGUUUAUACAGUCAGAUGUGAAAUUCCUGGGCUCAACCUGGGGACUGCAUUUGAGACGUAUGGACUUGAGUGGAGAAGAGGGUCGUGGAAUUUCCAGUGUAGAGGUGAAAUUCGUAGAUAUUGGAAAGAACACCGGUGGCGAAGGCGGCGACCUGGUCUUUAACUGACGCUGAGGCGCGAAAGCGUGGGGAGCAAACAGG
This 404-nucleotide ribosomal RNA is filed under the name uncultured bacterium. Its description in RNAcentral is "bacterial SSU rRNA". It matches the Rfam family "Bacterial small subunit ribosomal RNA", at positions 355 to 776 of the family's 1533-position model. The record is from RNAcentral.